Molecule: ribosomal RNA, 721 nt
Filed under: uncultured bacterium
Lineage: Bacteria
Description: bacterial SSU rRNA
Rfam family: Bacterial small subunit ribosomal RNA
Source: RNAcentral
AGUCGAGGGGCAGCAUCAUCAAAGCUUGCUUUGAUGGAUGGCGACCGCCGCACGGGUGAGUAACACGUAUCCAACCUGCCGACAACACUGGGAUAGCCUUUCGAAAGAAAGAUUAAUACCGGAUGGCAUAAUUAUUCCGCAUGGGAUAAUUAUUAAAGAAUUUCGGUUGUCGAUGGGGAUGCGUUCCAUUAGGCAGUUGGCGGGGUAACGGCCCACCAAACCUACGAUGGAUAGGGGUUCUGAGAGGAAGGUCCCCCACAUUGGAACUGAGACACGGUCCAAACUCCUACGGGAGGCAGCAGUGAGGAAUAUUGGUCAAUGGACGAGAGUCUGAACCAGCCAAGUAGCGUGAAGGAUGACUGCCCUAUGGGUUGUAAACUUCUUUUAUACGGGAAUAAAGUGAGCCACGUGUGGCUUUUUGUAUGUACCGUAUGAAUAAGGAUCGGCUAACUCCGUGCCAGCAGCCGCGGUAAUACGGAGGAUCCGAGCGUUAUCCGGAUUUAUUGGGUUUAAAGGGAGCGUAGGCGGGUUGUUAAGUCAGUUGUGAAAGUUUGCGGCUCAACCGUAAAAUUGCAGUUGAUACUGGCGACCUUGAGUGCAACAGAGGUAGGCGGAAUUCGUGGUGUAGCGGUGAAAUGCUUAGAUAUCACGAAGAACUCCGAUUGCGAAGGCAGCUUACUGGAUUGUAACUGACGCUGAUGCUCGAAAGUGUGGGUAUCAA